RNAcentral lists this ribosomal RNA (468 nucleotides) under uncultured bacterium. RNAcentral's name for it is "partial 16S ribosomal RNA". It matches the Rfam family "Bacterial small subunit ribosomal RNA", at positions 28 to 507 of the family's 1533-position model. The record is from RNAcentral.
GACGAACGCUGGCGGCGUGCUUAACACAUGCAAGUCGAACGGAAAGGCCCUGCUUUUGUGGGGUUCUCGAGUGGCGAACGGGUGAGUAACACGUGUGUAACCUGCCCUUGACUUUGGGAUAACUUCUGGAAACUGGGGCUAAUACCGGAUAUGAUCUCCUGCUGCAUGUUGGUGGUUGGUAAGUUUCGGCGGUUGGGGAUGGACUCGCGGCUUAUCAGCUUGUUGGUCGGGUAGUUGCUUACCAAGGCUUUGACGGGUAGCCGGCCUGUGAGGGUUACCGGCGACAUUGGGACUAAGAGAGGGAGAAGAAUGGAACGGGAGGCAGCAGUGGGGAAUAUGACACAAUGGGGGGAAGCGAGAUGCAGAAACGCCGGGAGCGGGAUGACGGCCUUCGGGGUGUAAACAGAUUUCGCCUGUGACGAAGAGAGAGUGACGGUAAUGGGUAAAGAAGCACCGGCUAACUACGUG